GUGAAUCAUCAAAUUUUUGAACGCAAAUUGCACUCUCCUCGGAGAGUAUGCCUGUUUGAGGGUCAGCCUAUAAAAAAUCGACAUCGUUGCUGUUUCGCGGUGGCGUUCGUCGGAAAUGGGGUAUUCUUAAAUCUUUUUGAUUUAGGCGAUUUAAAAUUUUCUUUUGUUUCAUUGAACUUUUCUAGGAUUUUUUUCUUUACACUUUUAAGUUAUCGAUUUUUAUU
RNAcentral lists this unclassified non-coding RNA (224 nucleotides) under Glomeraceae sp. Its description in RNAcentral is "partial contains 5.8S ribosomal RNA and internal transcribed spacer 2". The stretch from base 1 to 65 matches the Rfam family "5.8S ribosomal RNA", at positions 84 to 154 of the family's 154-position model. The record is from RNAcentral. Lineage: Eukaryota; Fungi; Glomeromycota; Glomeromycetes; Glomerales; Glomeraceae.